RNAcentral lists this non-coding RNA (991 nucleotides) under Trichomonas vaginalis G3. RNAcentral describes it as "Eukaryotic large subunit ribosomal RNA". It matches the Rfam family "Eukaryotic large subunit ribosomal RNA", at positions 1740 to 2968 of the family's 3401-position model. Lineage: Eukaryota; Parabasalia; Trichomonadida; Trichomonadidae. The record is from Rfam by way of RNAcentral.
AACUGCGGCGUUCUGCUGGCAAAACAUAGCUUCGGUUAUGUCAAUGGCUAUUGGAUUGGUCCAUGAAGCGAAAAAUAGUUUACUGUGUCACUCGUACCGAUAACCGCAUCAGGUCUUCUAGGUAAGUAGCCUAUGGCCAUUGAGGCAUGAUAGUUCAGGGAAUUCGGCCAAUUAGAGCUGUAACUUCGGGAUAAAGCUUGGCUCUGAUGAAAAUCAGAACCGAUUGUUACGCGGAGAGCCCAACUGUUUAAUAAAAACGUAGUGUCGCGCUGUGGUAGUAUAGCCAGUGAACGCGACAUGAAUCCUGCUCAGUGCUGUGUCUGUUAAUAUGGUUCAAGCCAACGAAGCACCGGUAAAUAGCUGGGGUAACUAUGACUCUUAUCAAAGUAGCGAAAUACCUCGUCACUUAAUUAGUGACCUGCAUGAACGGAGCUAUGAGGUUCUCACUGUCCCAAACUGUCUCUCAGCGAACCAACUGUAGUGGGAACGGUCACUAGAUAUCCAGCGGGGAAAGAAGACCCUGUAGAGCUUCACUUUGGUCUAGUCUUGUAUAGUUCCUGCGGGGGUGUAGACUAGGUGGGAGAGCAAUCGAUUCUGAAAAACCACUACCCUGUUUGGAAUUAUGCUUACCUAUCACAAGGAAUAGGACUAGAUAGAAAGUUUGGCUGGGGCGGCACACCUUCGAAAGAGCAGCGAAGGUGUCCUAAGUUGAGCUCAGUGAGGACAGAAAUCUCACGUUGAGGAUAAGGCCAAAAGCUCAAUUUACUGUGCCUUUUUGUACUAGGAUCAGUUACGAAAGUACGCCUAACGAUCCCUAAAUAGCCUCAGUGCGUGAGGAUUGGGGUGACAGACAAGUUACCUCCAGGACACUGGCUUGUGGCUGCUAGAGAUCAAUCAACGCAGCUUUUGAUCUCGAUGUCGCUCUCCUAUCCUAGUGAUGUACAGUGCUAUGGUCGAUGUCACCGUAUUAGGAUCGUGAGCUGGGUUAGAC